GGAUGCCCGGAGGGCUCGCAACACGCCAGCCCCACGCGUGGCCUGCACAGCUGCCUGCUGCCCUCGUGGAGGAGGAUUGCUGCCACCGGCAGGGCUUCUGCCCUCCAUCACCACGUCGGAGAUACGGGCUGUCACUGCCUGACGGGGGCUUAGCGAGAGAGCUGGAGAGAGCCGCAGUGUGCGGCUGUCUGAUCUCAAUGGCUGGUUUAUUUAUUUCUGUGGUAAACCCAGAGAGCGGGGGACUCGCCGUGCUUUUCUCUGGCACGAAUGGUCUGUGCUGUGUGAGCUAUCGGCUUAUCUAACAAGUCUGUGUGCUGCCGGCGGGAUUUUCCUUUAUCACGAUGCAUGCCUGCUCCUGCCGUCAGCGCGCUGUCAGAUUAGGCCAGCAGAGGCCAUUGUACUUUUCCAUAAUUGCUUGAAAUUUCAUUGUGCCGUGUGGAGCUGAGUUAUCGUGAGCACUGACAUCUCCCUCUCUUAUCAGGUGAGAAUUCGUGCCGGCGGUGUGUGCUGUCCAGCAUAUCCCUGCACUGCUGCUGCAGCACGGCGACGGAUCCUUUCCCUUUUCCCCCUCCCCCCCCCAGCACUGCCCACCAGGCCAUCCUGCACAGCCCUGCACUUUGGCUCUCCGUGUGACCCACUUGCUGCCCGUUCUUUGUUGGUCAGAGCUGCUGACAGCUGCACCUCAGGAAGGCUCUGAAGCAAAACCUUUCUGAGAGGCAAAAUGAGAGAGAGGGGUGGAUGCCAACUCCUCCCCUGAGCUGUGCUGGCGGACAGGGCAGUGAGGGCUGCACGGCACAGCCCAGCAGCAGCAGGACGCCUGGUCUGGCCCCAUUCUGCCUCACUGUAGGGCAGGAGCUGUUGCUUACAGGGCCGCACCAUCUAUCCUGUCUGAUAGCAAAGGGGCAUGAGCUCGGGAUGCCAGCAGCUUGCUCCGUGAGCUGUGAGCAGGAGAAGGGUCACCGGGACCUCUCCGCGUGACGUGGCAGCUGUGAGAAGUAGGGCUGUGAGAAGGGUCGGAUAACCUAAACCUGUGGGUUAAUUUGCUAUGCAGCUGCCUCUGGCGCUGCUGGCCCUUUGCCCUUCGGUUGCCAGGUAGGCUGAGGGCUUUGCAGAGCUCCCUGGGGUGCUGCAGGCCUCGUAGGGACAUAGGGACGUGACCCUGCCAUCGUCUCUGGUGGUGAGCCCUCACUGGGUCGCUCCACCAAACACCUCCUGGCUCCCCAGGACCAGGAUGCCUAUAGGGCAGUGCAGGGGAGCAGGACCAGCGCGUGGGAGCACCCCACCUCCUCACCAGGCCAAGGCUGGGCUUCACCUGCCCUGCAAGCCCCAUCCCAUCCCUCUCCGAGCAUUCCCUGCUGCUGCUCUGCCUCCUGGCUCUCGGCAGAGGGGAUCCUCUCCUCCAUCAGUAGGAACCCAUCCGUGCGCCAGGGGCAGUUACCUGCGGCAGGGCUGGGGAGAGGGACUCGGUGCAGCGCAGGAAGCAAGCUGCUGCUGGCAGUGGGGCAAAGAGAGAGCAGCAGGCAGAUGGCAUGAAUAUUAGUGCAUGGAAAUGACGAACACUCUGAGAAUUUCCCAGCGCUCUCCUGGCUGGCUUGGGCCCGCUUUUAUAAUUAAUUUAUGGAAAGCACCUAAGUUGGGAAUAAACACCAUCUCACAAAUCCCUCCUAAUCUCCGCCUGUAUUUUGGAGCGAUACCCUGAAGGUAUAGUUUCUUACAAUGAUUAAACUGUUUUCCUUUUCAGAAUUAAAAAGGGUUGGGUUUUUUUUUUUUUUUUCCAUGCGAUUGAGCAGAGCAUUAGUGGUCAGGACCGAACGCAGGCCUGUUUUAGAUGCAAUCCAUUGUUGCGAAUGCCCGGAUGGGGCAUUUCUCCCCCAGGCUGCCGGAUGCCAAAUCUGUCACUGUUUCCAUUUCGGAUUCGUGUAUUUUGAAGCGAAAUGUGAUUUGAUGCGUUGUCAGUCACCUGAUGGCUCAGAAGCACUCGGGCGUUAGCAUAAACCUGGGAACUUCCUUUAGAAAAGAGACGUAAUUUUCAUCGAGCUGUUGCUUCCCACUGGUGAGGGAAGCAAAACCCCCUCCCUGGGGCAGGAUGUGCAGAACAUGCCCGGGAAGGUGUCUGUGCAGUGAGGGUGUGGGAUGUGUGCAUGCUGCUGGGUCUCCGGGCUCAUGCAGGCGCUGCAGCGUGCUGUGCGGUGCAGCUCUGUGUGCCAGAGGAAGCCUGCAAAGGCCCGGGCUCAGCUCUGCAUUUGGCUGCUGCCUGCACGGAGGCUCCCACCGCUCCCGAGGGGCCUUCUGAUGGCUGGAGCCAUGGGCGGACCAGGGCACCUGCAUGGAGCUGAGAGCUGGGGCCUCCUCUGGCAGCGAGAUCCAGGCGGCAUCUGUGGACAUGGGGUGGGCUCUGCAGCGUGCAGGGAAGGAGAAGCCUUUUUGUUACGUGCCUCAUCAAGUCCUGACAUGGAAAUCGAGGUAGGAAUUACUCAGGGCGCAACCUGUCCCUCUGAUUUGGCCUUUGUGGCUCAGUCAUGCAUAGGAGAGGCCUUUUCCUUGUCCCCUCCAGCAGCAUCUCCUUGUAAUGGCUAAUGGAAAAACAUUGCAGCGGCGAAAGAUUCUCUUACUCUCAUAAACACAAUGACAAGGCUAAUCUGCAGCAGGAGCGGGUGCCCAGCCGCACGUCUCGGCUGAGUGCCUCCCUUGGAUGUGCUUUGAGUCGGGCAGGUGACGGAGCAGGAGGCAGCCAGCAGCAAAGCCCAGGCCUGGGGUGCCCACUCCGUGCUGCUGCCUGCGUGCCCUCAGUGACAGCCUUGCAGGAGCCCAGUGUCUCCCUUCUAUGCAUGGGGAGUGCUGGGUUUUAAGGCGUCUUUUCUGUUGCUUUGGGAAGAAGAGGGCGCGAGGAAGACCAGGCGUGGCAUCUGGAACACCACAGCCGUAAUUAAAAUGCUUUGGAAGGUAUUUCACUCCUACAGAGUAAGAGAUCGCUUUGAGUAUUUUGCCCCAUUCAUUGCACGCUAGUUAGAUGUGAGUGUUUUUGUCACGUGGAUAUUCGCUCACCUGCAGUUCACUAACCUGACAGUUAAACGCAUAUUUAAACGUGCAUUUAUAUACCCUUUAAUGCGUAGUAAUUAGCUGGUAGAAAGAAAAGAUGUCUUCUGGUCUUGAAAGGCAACAGGGGGAGGGGUGAUGGCAGAGCGCUGCGCUGGCCCCCGCCUGCACCGGGGCAAGUGUUGGGUGCCUUCCCAUCACGGUGACCGUGUUGUGCUGCAGAAAUAUUGAGUGGUAUUGGUCCCAACACGGACCCUUGAGUGACAGCACCUGUUACUGGUUUCCAUUUGGGCACUGAGCCUUGGACUCACUGGAUGCAGCCGUCCAGUCAAUUCCUUAUCCAUCUUACAGUCUGUCAAUCCAAAUAAUCUCUCUCCCAUUCAAAGACACGAAUAUCGUAGGAGACCACAUAAAACGUCUUGCAGAAGCUGAGUUGGACGACCACCAGCUCUUCACUUUUCAGUCCACUGCAGAAGGCCAGUAGGUGAGUCAGGCACGAUUUGCCCUUUGUGAAGCUAUGCCUGCCCUCUCUAUCCAUCCCGCUGUCCUCCACAUGCCUUAGCGUGACUUCCAGAAGGAUCUGUUGCACGAUCUUAGCAGGCACUGGUUUAGUCUGGCAGGUCAGUAAUUGCCAGGACCCUCCCCAGGAGCCUUCUUACAAAUAUCUGUGAUGCUCCCGUUUCUCCAUUCAGUGGAGACUUGACCUGACAGCCGCGAGUUCUCAGAUGCGAUGGAGAGAGGCUGAGCAGCUACGUCAGCCACUUCCCUCAGGACCCUGGGAUGUAUCUCACCCACGGACCCCAUGGAACGCUGAGCUUUGGAUUCCAAUCUUCCCAACUGACUGGAAUACAGUGGAUUAAAAAAAAAAAGUAAGUUAAGGAGAAAUAAAAGCCAACAACCCUCAUCAAGCACCAUCCGCUGCUCCUUGGCACUUCCCCGCACAGACAGAGGUGUUUGCCUGUUUCCCGCAGCAGAGCAGGUGGGUGACAUCAGGUCUUUCACCUACCCACCCUUUGGCUGAGCUGCUGCCUCCGUCUGCCUGGCAGCUGUGACAUCCAUUGGGCAGCGCCAACAAAUGGCCAUAGGCUCGACACUUCUCCAUGUCGAGAUUCCUGACUCUUCUGUCAAACUGGCGAGGUAGUUUGGGGAGGGUUAGGGCUAGGAUUGGGUUGUGUCAGAGUUAGGUUUUGGGUUAGCGUUAGGAUUACGUUUAGAACUAGGGUUGGGAUGGGACUGGGCUUGAGUAAGGGCUAUCAUUAGGGUUAGGGCUCACCUCCCCCCUAGGAAAAGGCAGGGAGCCCUGCUGACCCCUUGCUUUGUGGGCAGCAGGCUGUCUCGCUUGUCUUUUCUUACUACUACAGACUCACAGAUUUAAAACCUAUGUGUAAACUUCACCAGGCUGCAAUUACUGCCCACCACGAGUAAAGCACCCUUGCACACAACCAGCCCCAAGGGGAGGGCAUGCAGAUGCACCCGGGUGGCUUCUGCAGGCUGCUUCCAGAGAGCUCUGUCAUCCUUGCAGAGGGUGCUGCUCCUGGAGAGGUGUCUGUCUGGUAUCUGGUCUUUGCCAUCAGACAGCCGCGUGGGGAUGCUGAGCCACAUCUGUGCACGCCUCUGUUCUGGUCGACCCUUGCUGUGCAAAGCACAUGCUUGCCCCACUCAGUGCUGCAGGAGCUGCUGGAGGAGGAGGGCAGCGGGCUCAGCACGGGGGUGUGCCAAGGAAACACAGCCCCACUCCCACCCAGUGACAUGAAUGAGCCAGCAGGGUUUCACACCCCUUGGAUGACUGGGAAGGCCCUGAGCGCAGCGGGUUACUGGAGCACAGCACUGUGAUGUUGCUAAGUUAGCACACCAGGUUCUGUUCCACCCUCCCCGAGCAGGGGCCAUUCCCUUCAGCACAGCGGAGGUGAUAACAGCGCUGACACUGAUGUGUGCCUCCGCAAGGCUGCAGCCUCAUCUCCGAGACAGGAUAAACUGUUUGGCCUUUGGACAAGAUUAUUUCUGUUCGGAACAGGAUUGUUAUCACUUAAUUGAAAAUAAUUAUCCAAUGCAAAUUGGCUUCAAGUUGGCAGGCUGAGUUGAAGAGACUGCACGCUUCCAAGCUGUCCUGAGCAGAGCUGUGCCAGGCUGCGUGGGGCACAGUGAGAGAUGGGACUGCCAAUGGAGCUCUGUCUGCACUGCACAGGGAUUUGCCUGUCUGGCCUGCCCUGUGCACCCAACAGGGACAUGUGCGGCCCUGUGGUGGGCUCUACGCCCCCUCACUGCAUGCUGUGAGUUCCAUCUGCACAGCAGUGCCAACACAGCACCAGGAGGGCUCCAGUGCAACCAGCGUCCCUGGCAUGCCGAUCCCAAGUGUAACGGGGAGUGUUAAUGAGCCAGCACACUGUCCUCAAGUCUGCACCUCAACUGCUGCACACAGAGUGUGCUUGUGGGUGUCACAGCUACACUCAUGUCCUGACAAGGGGACAGCUGGUGUCACAGACAGCCUAGUCCUGAGCCAGGGAUACAGAAACCCUCAUGGAACCAGACACAGACACAGAAUCAUAGAACCUUUUCAGCUGGAAGGGACUCUUAAAGGUCAUCUAGUCCAUCUUCCCUGCAACAAACAGGGACAUCCACAGCUCCACCAGGUGCUCAGAGCCCCAUCCAGCCUGACCUCCAAUGCCUCCAUGGAUGGAGCUUCCACCACAUCUUGGGCUCCGAGGUUCCAGUGCCUCACCAUUCUUAUUGUAAAAAACCCUUCUUCCUUAUAGCCAACCUACAUCUCCCCUCCUUAACUUAAAACCGUUUCUCCUUGUUCUUGCACAGCAGACCCUGCAAGAGUCUGUCCCCCUCUUUUGUUCCCCUUUAGAUACUGACGGGCCGCUCUCAUGUCUCCCAGAGCCUCCUCUUCUCCACGCUGCACAGCCCCAGCUCUCAGCCUGUCCUCCUAACGGAACGGAGCUGUUCCGUCCCUGGGAUCCUUUUUGUGGCCCUCCUCUGGAUGCGCUCCAGCAGCUCCACAUCCCUCCUGUGCUGAGGACCCCCCGUGCGGCUGCAGUACUGCUGGUGGCUUCGCACAUCCUGCUGAACCUCUUCCCUCCCACGUGCGAGCAGUCGGCCAUCCGCGGUGCUGCGUGUCGGUGUGCUCGCCUGGCAGUUCCCAAGUGUGACCACGGCACCCCGCGCUGCUCUGCGGUUCAGCGCCUGCACACCAGGCACGGUGUGCCCACUCGGCAUGCUGCGAGCCCUGUGCCUGCUCUGCCCAUCUUCGGCCUCUCCCUUUUCUUUCUUAUUUCUGCCUGAACGGGUUCGGAUGAGACGAGACCUCCCCGAGUGCACACAGUGCCUCCGCAGAGGCACGGAUCCACCGCAGAACGCUGAGCUCCCGCAGCACCCUUACGAGGUUUGGCCCGGCUGCUCGGUGCAAGAUUAAUUAACACAAUAUUUAAACGCAGCUCCAUCAGGAGUGCAAAACACUUCUAUGGAAAUCUCCGUCAGGAGCCGGCAGAAAUGAGAGUGUGCUUUACCUGGCGGAGCACAAUUAGACAAUUAGACAGUCAAAUAUUGUCCUGGUUAAAGACUAUUAAUUUUCCUUACAUUUGUCAUGAAUUAAUUUUUUUUUUCUUUUUUUUUUCCCCUGGCUGUAUAAACAGUGUUUCAUUUAUAAAUACAACCGCUUCCUUUACACUGAAAAAUUAAAUUUGCUCUGAUAAUGAACCGAGGUGCUAAUAAUCAUUUUGCAAUGCAAAAAAGUGCAAUUACUGCCCGCCGUGCCUCACAUUGGCGCCGACACAAAGCCUGUGGCUGCCAGCCUGGGCUCCGGGCAGCACCCGCUGCAUGGGACCACAGUGCUGUGCCUCUCCUGACCCUCACCAAAGCCGUGGGUCUCACAUCCGAGCUGCAGUGCCCACACGGAGGGGCACGGGCUUUGCACGACGCGUGCAGGCGAAGCUAUGGGACAAAAUGAAGAAGCACAGCGCACAGAAAACCCAGCAAAAUCUACUGCAAAGCUCUGAGCGCACAGUGGGACGAGGAGGAGGGAGAACCGUCUCUGGCCACGGGCCGGCAUGGAGGUAUCUCCUCUACAGUGGGACAUUUAGAGCUAAGCCCUUUGGAACGGGAUAACAGUGAAUUCUUAUGGGACCUCGUGCUUGGGAAGUCGCAGUGCCGGAGGCCAGCUCUCACAAAGAAAGGUGGAGAACAGCUGCAAUGAGAGGAGGAGACCCAUCUGUCCGAGGCAGGGCCAGGAGGGCACAGCAACGCCGCCAGCACAGCCCCGUUCUGACAUCAACUCAGUGGCCUCAGCAGUGAGCUCUCAAAUGCUGGAUGCUGCUCUUGCCUGGUGCUUCCUCUGGAUGCGGUGUGACAUCGGAGCGCGUCCCCUUUGUGCCUGCAGCUCAGGGCUCUGCUUUGGAGCACGCGAGGCAGCUCCGGGCAGGCAUGCAGCACUCUGGCAUUGGCAGCCACACAGGGCAGCUUCCAUCACCUGAAAUGCAUCAGUGCUCCCAUAGCUCCACGCAGCGCUGCUCAGGCAUGCCUGGUCAGAUGAAAUCCCACGUGAUUCUACCACACAUACGUACAAAGGCAUCAGCUAUUGUGUAUGCAUACGUGCCUAGUACAUACGUGAUUAUAAUAGACGUAUCCAUACAUUUUAGGCAGACGUCGGUGAAACGAAGGAUUCAAAGAGGAGCCCACCCAUCUGCUCCUCUCUGUUAAGAAAAAAAAAAGUCAUUAAUUCUUUCCCAAUGCACACAGGUAUCCCGCAGAGAAGCACGCCUCAAAUCGCAGCACUCCUUCCUUCCCCAGCCUUGCUGCAGCAAAUCAUAGACCGAACGCUCCCUUCUCCCCUCUUACUCCAGGGACGGCUGCCCCCAUUACCAAGCAAGACUGCAACCUUUUGAUCCAUCCAUCUUGUCUCUUCCACCCAGCCCAGGCUGAGCUACAGCCACUUAUUUAUUCACGCAAUGUAGGUUUCCUCAUGCUGCUUCACCAGUGCACAUCAGCUGUGACCUCGAGUCUCUGCCCUCUCCAGGGAUAAGCAUGUUUUUUAGUCCCAGGCAUCUCCGGAGCAAAGAGUGACAGUUCUUUAAGGGAGGGAGUAAAUAGCAGGUGGGAGGAAUGACAGGCUGAAGCACAUUUUAGCUUAAUAGGAUAAAAUGGAGCUUGAUGGAAGCAGCCCGGUCUGCAAGUCAUCAGGUGCAGAACGGAACUUCAGCGCCGUGCUUUCCUUUAAAUAGCCGCAAAUGUAGCAAGGUCUUUUGCUGGUAGAAAAUGCAUCAGUCCUUGUUGCUUUCAGCAUCCCACCCUCUCCAUCUAAUGCAAAUUCAACUUUGCUACUGUUGCACUAACCUCUGUACGAUUAAUUAGCUGCUCAACAGAAAGCCAAAUGAUAGUUACAGGAGGCAUGGACAGCAGCCUGCCAGGAUUAAAUGCCACCAGUUUUGGUUCAAAUAGCACAAGGAAGUGACCCAUAAGUGGAGCCCCGCACUGUGGUUAGGGAGAGCCGAGCACCUGGACUGCACACUUGGCAUGGGUUCACCAGCAGGUAAAGCAGAAACAACUCCCUUCCUUGUCCGUGCAGCUUACCGAUAGGCAGGGCACAGAUCUGCUCCUGGCUGGGUGUAUGCAGUGUCCAACACUGUGGGAUUCCAUCUCCUGGGAAAUAUGGUUCCUGCUACAGCCCUGCUGGUUGACAUGAGGAUAUUAGGAAGAUCGGAUGGGUAUUGGGAAGAAUUUCUCCUCCAAAAGAGCGUUCAGGCAGUGGCACAGCUGCCCAGGGAGGUGGUGGAGUCACCGUCCCUGGAGGUGUUCAAGAACUGUGGGGAUGUGGCACUGAGGGACGUGAGCAGUGGGCACGGUGGGGCGGGUUGGGGUUUUCUUUGAAGCCUUUUUCAACCUGAGUGAUUCCAUGAUUCCAUGAGGCAGGUCCCUUCUGUCUUGCUGCAUGGUUCUUCUCCCACAUUUAUGAAGGCUGCAGCACUCAGUGCGAGGUUUACGAUGGUUAUGUUAAUGCAGGGCCAGGAAUUUGAGACAAACAAAUGCAAGCCUAGGUUGGAGAGCAGUUACUGCAGGCACAACAGGACAGUCCAACGCAUGCAGGGCGGUGUAGCUAUCUUGGUUCUUCUGCUCUUCUUAACAUCAGCAGUGCCUGGACAUGGCCACGUCUGACACUGCUCCACCCAGCAGAGGAGUGGGACAUUGAUGCUUAUGUGGCAGAGAGGGCAGGGCCGAUCUGCUCAGAGACUACUGCAGAAUGGGCCCUCAGCAGCCCACCUACACAUCUGCUUCCUCAGAAAUCUCUUUUUGCCUGCAGCUCGUGUUUGUUCAGCCCCUCCUCAAAGCCCUGACAGUGAGGCUCCAUCCCAGCUCAGACAAUCUGCUGUGGUCCUCUGCUAUCCUUACCGUUUCGAGGUCUGUGUCCUUAGCGUUUUAUCCCCACCUGCUGUAUGUUAACCCUGUGCUUUGCUGCCCCACUCACUCCAUUUUAAGAAAGCCAGUCCUCCGCUGAACGUUAUUUUCAUGCUUGCUUCCCUCUAGGAGGAAGAAAAAAAAGCGCCUCAUCCAUUUCCAUUUUUUCUUGCUGGCUGCAUUAUCUGGAACCCCUCUGAUUCUGUGCACUGCACAGCAGGUUUGCUCAAUCUGGAAGUGCUGUGCCUGACAAAAGUCAGUACACGAGCUUGUAUCUUAACAUGCCAUGACCUAAAGGGACUUGCAGCUAACACACUCCUUUGUAUACACUGCUGCAGUCUUUUGUUCCAUUUACCACAGCUUUGCUGCCUCACGUUCAGCCUGGGAGCUUUACUGCAGCCUUGCUUCCCAGUUGAUUACUUCCUGGCCUUCAUCUGCAGUGCUGUGCCCACUGGCACAGAGGCCACAACCUACGGGGCAGACUUCUGUGGGUCCACCCAGCCAUUUGCAUAAGUUACUGACUUUGCUUAAAUUCUCCACCAUUGGCUUCCCAAGAUAGUUCAGGCACAUACUUGAAUCUAAAAAAGUCCAUAAGAGUCCAGUGUCAAAUAGGACUGCUUAAGGUCACUGAACCUCAGAGGAACCACUCAGUUUGGACUCCUGGCUGAUUUAAUUCCUGUCAGAGUAGCUGGGGGCCUCAGAUGGAAGACUGAGGAAAACUCACCUGUUCCACAUCACACUGGCAUUGCACGUGGGCCACUUGUAGACAUCAGUAUCUCUGAAACAAAGUGGCUACCCUGACUUGUACAUCAGUAUCUGCACUAUUUGUUUAAUACAAUUAUUACACAGAAGCAUAGAAUCGUUCAGGUUGGAGAAGACCUCUCAGACCAUCCAGUCUAACCAUCCACCUACGACCAAUACUGCCCACUAGCCACGUCCCUAAGUACAACGUCUAAAUGAUUCUUGGCCACCUCCAUGAAUGGUGUCCGCACCACCUCCCUGUGCAGCCCAUUCCAGCACCUGACUGCUUCUUCUGAGAAGAAAUUUUUCCUAAUAUCCAACCUGAACCUCCCCUGGCACAACUUGAGGCCAUCGCCUUUCAUCCUAACGCUGUGUCCUGGGAGCGGAGGCCAACUCUUACCUUGUUACAGCCUCCUUUCAGGGAGUUGAAGACAGCGAUGAAGAAAGGAAUUUCAGACACCAGCACGAAGGCACUUACUCAAAACUGGGCACUGGGUUCUGAACAAGAUGUCCUUGACAGUUCUCAAGCACAAUGUAGGUUUAGGUCUGCUCCAAACAGCUCUGGACAGAGAUGGUACGGACACUGAAAUACCCGUGCUGUCAUUUGAGACCCUACCAAACAAAAAGCUGGGGAACUUACGGAGAGUGGAACAGUACUGGUUAGAAAGAUAGCCCCCAUUUUUCUGUACUGCAAUGCCCUCCUGGUUUCUCCUCCUUGUAUACCCAUGCAUUUGCACACGUUACAGACUCUUUCCAACUCUGAAGUACAACUCUAGCCAAAGGCCAAUUUCUUGGUAAGAAGAAAGAGAGGACAUCUAACUCUGCGAAAACGUGCUGGUAGCUGCUUCCUCCUGCUUAACAGAAGUGGUGGUAUACCGCAGUACAGAUCCUGCCUCAAUAAAACCAGGAGAUCUCCUGUCUUUGCUGCAGUUUCAGCUCAACAUAAGGGAAGCAGAUACUGUGUUCUCAAGUAGCUCCGCUUGCCAAUGAAAGACAGUGUACAGCAAACCGAUGGCUAUGGAUAUCCCCCACGUAGAUUUUUAUUUGGAUUAUUCAUUUGGUCAAGCAUUUGCUAUUACAAAACUUUAAACAACGUCCAAUUCCAGAGUACAAAAAUAACUGUCUUACAAAUAAAUUUAAUUAUUAAGUUUUAAGCACUGUGUCUGGAAUCAAAUACACUCUUCACGCUCUACCAUUUCUGCAGACACAACUCCCACACCAAGGGGAACAGUGACAAAUCUAACAUGAGAUGUAAACUCUGCUAUAUUUUCUCAUCUGCUUUCUCCUGCUGUUCCAACCAGCCAGCAAAGAGACGGAAUGCGGUCAGUCAGAGCCUGCCCAUGCUUGGCACCCAGAGCUGUGGCACUGAUGGUGGUGGGCCUACACUGCAGAGUGAGGUGGGAGACUGUCACUUCCCAGAGUGUAAAGCAUAACC
Long non-coding RNA from Gallus gallus (chicken), 11602 nucleotides. RefSeq lists it as uncharacterized. NCBI's taxonomy places the organism in Eukaryota, Metazoa, Chordata, Aves, Galliformes, Phasianidae. The transcript is spliced from 2 exons. The record is from RefSeq and is a predicted model, not a curated record.